UAAAGAUCCGUCGGAUGAGGAUAGGCUCGCGUGACAUUAGCUAGACGGCGGGGUAACGGCCCACCGUGGCGACGAUGUCUAGGGGUUCUGAGAGGAAGGUCCCCCACACUGGAACUGAGACACGGUCCAGACUCCUACGGGAGGCAGCAGUGAGGAAUAUUGGUCAAUGGCCGGAAGGCUGAACCAGCCAUGCCGCGUGAAGGUCAGUGCCCUAUGGGCGUUAAACUUCUUUUGUGCGGGAGCAAUAAGGGCCACGCGUGGCCUGACGAGAGUACCGUACGAAUAAGCAUCGGCUAACUCCGUGCCAGCAGCCGCGGUAAUACGGGGGAUGCAAGCGUUAUCCGGAUUUAUUGGGUUUAAAGGGUGCGUAGGCUGUGAGGUAAGUCAGCGGUGAAAUGCCCCCGCUCAACGGGGUGAAGUGCCAUUGAUACUGCCUUGCUGGAAUGCGGAUGCCGUGGGAGGAAUGUGUGGUGUAGCGGUGAAAUGCAUAGAUAUCACACAGAACACCGAUUGCGAAGGCAUCUCACGAAUCCGCGAUUGACGCUGAUGCACGAAAGCGUGGGUAUCAAACAGGAUUAGAUACCCUGGUAGUCCACGCUGUAAACGAUGAUGACUAACCGUCGGCGAUACACAGUC
RNAcentral lists this ribosomal RNA (636 nucleotides) under uncultured bacterium. RNAcentral's name for it is "bacterial SSU rRNA". It matches the Rfam family "Bacterial small subunit ribosomal RNA", at positions 202 to 838 of the family's 1533-position model. The record is from RNAcentral.